CAAAAAUAUAACUGCAAAAAAUGAUUGCGAAGACAACAAUUCGUUCGUAAUUUGUUUUACAUUUAGCAGCGCUAUCGGUGAAUUCAUUUCUGAUGAUUUUAACGCACU
RNAcentral lists this small RNA (108 nucleotides) under Corethron pennatum. RNAcentral's name for it is "partial transfer-messenger RNA". Lineage: Eukaryota; Bacillariophyta; Corethrophyceae; Corethrales; Corethraceae. The record is from RNAcentral.